Molecule: ribosomal RNA, 275 nt
Filed under: Escherichia coli
Lineage: Bacteria; Pseudomonadati; Pseudomonadota; Gammaproteobacteria; Enterobacterales; Enterobacteriaceae
Description: partial 23S ribosomal RNA
Rfam family: Bacterial large subunit ribosomal RNA
Source: RNAcentral
GGGUUGUGAGGUUAAGCGACUAAGCGUACACGGUGGAUGCCCUGGCAGUCAGAGGCGAUGAAGGACGUGCUAAUCUGCGAUAAGCGUCGGUAAGGUGAUAUGAACCGUUAUAACCGGCGAUUUCCGAAUGGGGAAACCCAGUGUGAUUCGUCACACUAUCAUUAACUGAAUCCAUAGGUUAAUGAGGCGAACCGGGGGAACUGAAACAUCUAAGUACCCCGAGGAAAAGAAAUCAACCGAGAUUCCCCCAGUAGCGGCGAGCGAACGGGGAGGAG